RNAcentral lists this ribosomal RNA (253 nucleotides) under uncultured bacterium. Its description in RNAcentral is "partial 16S ribosomal RNA". It matches the Rfam family "Bacterial small subunit ribosomal RNA", at positions 524 to 776 of the family's 1533-position model. The record is from RNAcentral.
UACGAAGGGUGCAAGCGUUACUCGGAAUUACUGGGCGUAAAGCGUGCGUAGGUGGUUUGUUAAGUCCGAUGUGAAAGCCCUGGGCUCAACCUGGGAACUGCAUUGGAAACUGGCUUACUAGAGUGCGGUAGAGGGGUGUGGAAUUCCCGGUGUAGCAGUGAAAUGCGUAGAUAUCGGGAGGAACAUCUGUGGCGAAGGCGACACCCUGGACCAGCACUGACACUGAGGCGCGAAAGCCAGGGGAGCAAACGGG